UACGGAGGGUGCAAGCGUUAUUCGGAAUUACUGGGCGUAAAGCGCACGUAGGCGGCUUUGUAAGUUAGAGGUGAAAGCCUGGAGCUCAACUCCAGAAUUGCCUUUAAGACUGCAUCGCUUGAAUCCAGGAGAGGUGAGUGGAAUUCCGAGUGUAGAGGUGAAAUUCGUAGAUAUUCGGAAGAACACCAGUGGCGAAGGCGGCUCACUGGACUGGUAUUGACGCUGAGGUGCGAAAGCGUGGGGAGCAAACAGG
RNAcentral lists this ribosomal RNA (253 nucleotides) under uncultured bacterium. RNAcentral's name for it is "partial 16S ribosomal RNA". It matches the Rfam family "Bacterial small subunit ribosomal RNA", at positions 524 to 776 of the family's 1533-position model. The record is from RNAcentral.